RNAcentral lists this ribosomal RNA (162 nucleotides) under Penicillium euglaucum. RNAcentral describes it as "partial 28S ribosomal RNA". It matches the Rfam family "Eukaryotic large subunit ribosomal RNA", at positions 1 to 161 of the family's 3401-position model. The record is from RNAcentral. Lineage: Eukaryota; Fungi; Ascomycota; Eurotiomycetes; Eurotiales; Aspergillaceae.
UUGACCUCGGAUCAGGUAGGGAUACCCGCUGAACUUAAGCAUAUCAAUAAGCGGAGGAAAAGAAACCAACAGGGAUUGCCCCAGUAACGGCGAGUGAAGCGGCAAGAGCUCAAAUUUGAAAGCUGGCCCCCUCGGGGUCCGCAUUGUAAUUUGCAGAGGAUG